This 294-nucleotide long non-coding RNA is filed under the name Ictidomys tridecemlineatus (thirteen-lined ground squirrel). Its description in RNAcentral is "lncRNA (ENSSTOG00000030293.1)". Lineage: Eukaryota; Metazoa; Chordata; Mammalia; Rodentia; Sciuridae. The record is from RNAcentral.
CUUCCACCAGGAUGGACGCAGCUGCAGCAGAGCUGUCGUUGACCAUGGUCAUGUCACACAGGCCACCCCUGAUGAUGGAGAAGACGGUUAAAAUGGGCAAAGGGAUCGUGGUCGCAGCGUCACGUGAAGGACCAUCUGAAUUGCAAAUCACACACCAAACAAACUUGGGGGAAUAGAGAGACCCAGCCGAAUGGGGACCCUGCACGGCCAUCCAGCAGGGGAGUCGCUGUCACAUUCCCUGGGAAAUGAAUUCUUCCUGAUGGGAGUUCCAAACUAAAGUGGCCAGGGUGUCGC